UGCGCAGGCGGGCCGAUAAGUCGGGGGUUAAAUCCAUGUGCUUAACACAUGCAUGGCUUCCGAUACUGUCGGCCUAGAGUCUCGAAGAGGAAGAUGGAAUUUCCGGUGUAACGGUGGAAUGUGUAGAUAUCGGAAAGAACACCAGUGGCGAAGGCAGUCUUCUGGUCGAGCACUGACGCUCAGGCACGAAAGCGUGGGGAGCAAACA
This 207-nucleotide ribosomal RNA is filed under the name uncultured bacterium. RNAcentral describes it as "partial 16S ribosomal RNA". It matches the Rfam family "Bacterial small subunit ribosomal RNA", at positions 568 to 774 of the family's 1533-position model. The record is from RNAcentral.